CUGUAUCUAUGUCUGUUACUUUUGUCUUGAUUGUGUGCAAGUGCUUGAUUGGGUGUGUGCUUGUGUGACCAUGCGUGUAUUGCAUUUGCUUGACGGUGUGGUUUGUAUAACUUGUGUUUUAUAUGUCAGGAUUGAUUGUUGUUUGUUGAAUUUGAACAGAUAUAACACUAUUCUUUUUUCUAAACUUUUUUGUGAUUAUGUCUUAUGUGGAUACCAUACUCUUUUUUGUAAUAUUGUUGUCCAAUCACUGGAAUAACGCUUUUCUAAGUAUUUAAGGUACAGCCAUGUAGAUCUAGACAUGAUGCUGAUGGGUUAGGUUUGCAUACAAUGCAGGUAUAUUUACGUUCUUUACAUUUUGCGACAGUCCCAAAACUUUUAUUUAGCCAAAUUUUGCUAAUUCUGUUUUUAGAUGCGCUGUAUCCAUAACUACCUAUUGGCACCUGAUAUUUGUGCUCAAAAAAUGCAAUAUGGACCAACAAAAUGGUCUCAAGAGAGGUACUCUUUUGAUUGUUUUAUUUUUAUGGUUUAUGGAUUGUAUUUUGCAUUUCCCCCUUUGUGCAAGACAAACAGGGAAUGUGUACUAAUCUAGAAACACACUGGUUAUGUGAAGAUCUGAUUGGUAAAUAUUAAGCUGAUUUUGAAUUCAUACAUACAGAGAGAAGCUUGGACUAUUGAGGAGGAACAUGCACUGAUUAAUGCCUAUCGGGUAUAUGGGAAUAGAUGGGCAGAAAUAGCAAAAGUUCUUUCUAGAAGGAAUCGGGUACUUCUAUUUGUUCUUAGGUUCUUCUCACCUAUAGCUAAAGUCAGAGGCAACAAAAUCAAGUGGAUUAUUGGAGUUACAAGAUACACAAAAUCAUCGGUCAUCUAAAUCUUCUUUUCUAAUAUGAUUGUUGGUGCUGCUCAUGAGGCUAGCCACCGGCUUGGAAGUGAUGAGAGGCAAUCACUGUUGUCAACUUGAAAUGUAUAAUUUUUUAGGAACGAAGAUCUGAAUCACCCUCACGCCUCGAGAGAAAUCAAUCUAGUCAUUCAGGUUCUGGUAUUUCUUUAUAGCUUUCUGAGUUUACUUCGGUCUUUCAUGUAUUUGCUUUCUGUUUGUGCCCC
Long non-coding RNA from Triticum aestivum (bread wheat), 1101 nucleotides. RefSeq lists it as uncharacterized. The transcript has 5 exons. Lineage: Eukaryota; Viridiplantae; Streptophyta; Magnoliopsida; Poales; Poaceae. The record is from RefSeq and is a predicted model, not a curated record.